AAAUGAGGGUCUUCUGGAAAGGAGUCCUUCACCUUUCCUUGGCUGGAUAGCAAAUCUGUUCCGAAAUAGGAGAAAGGCAGCUUGGCCCUGCGGAAGGAGAUCCCAACUGAAAGGGGCUCUGCCCUGGACUAGGAUCUGAGGUGUCUGGAAAGGCAGUUUCCUCGGUCGUAAAAAUGGUUAUCAAUACCAUCUCAAAGGGGCAUCGCUGAGGAAAGCGCACACCACUAGCAGUCCAUGGAGCCCCUCAUCAAUGUGCGUUCUUCCGUGUUUCCCGUUAAAGUAGAUCAUUCAGUGCUAAAGCAGUUUAAGACUCCUUCAGCAUCUUAAUGAGAUGACAGUAGGUCCGCAGCGAAGAGAGGCCCACACAGUCCGCUGGUACCAACACCAUUCGAGCCAGAGAGGCUCCCAAGCUUCGAAGCUUCCCCCCAGGAGUGGAGGCCAGUAUUAUUGGCCAACAGAGGCACGCCACACCUUCAAUGCACAUCUGGGCCAUCAUCCCCACACACAAUCGGUCAGGUAAGACCCCAAGUUCCCUAGGGCACGGGGCUGCCACGGGCCCCAGUCUUGCCUGUUCCGACCCGCUACAGUUUCCUAGUUCCCCGCUCCCCCACACGCAAACGGACGCGGCCCCGAAGGUUCCCAUUCACGUCCCGGCCCCGAAGGACUCUGUGUACCUGCGCCCAUGUUCCUCUGCAAUCAAAUCUGUGGAAUUGGGGAUUGUUUCACGUUGGAACUGGGGGUUUGAUCUUUGUCUUGCCAAGCACACUGUAGGUAACUAAUAAGUGCUUUUUAAUUGAUUGAAUGAAUGAAUAGCUGGAAAGUGUUAGGAUAGGAGUUCCUUCAGGACAGGAACUUUUUACUUUCUUUGUAUCUCUAGUCCUUAGCACAGGGACUGGCACCUAGUAAAUUGCUUAAUUAAUCUAUUGACUACACAAUGAAAUUGGAGUUUAUUUAAUAAGUAAUAAGGAAUCUGAUGAUUUUUGAGCAGAGACCCAAUCUUCCCAGAAUGAUGCAUGAAGAAGGUUAGUCUGGAAGCAUCAGGAAUGGCAGAUGCUAUGGGGCAAAGGAUAAAAGAAGGACCAGUUAGAAGACUUGCCUUAUUCCAUGCAGACAAUAAUGAAGAAAUAAAAGGGAAAAUAAGAGUGGUGACCUUCAAGCUAUGGAGUGGGUAGAUACAAGAGAAAUGACAGUGGUGGAAUCAGCAGCACUUUGCCAUUGAUUAUUAUGAAAAGAAUCCAGAAGAAGAUAGAAAUUUAAAAUGUGGGAGGCUAUGAAUGAUGGUACUAUUGGCAGAAAUAGUGAAGACAGAAGAAAAAGCAAGCUUCCAGGGAAAGAUAAAAAUCUCAGCUUUGAACAAAUUCAAUUAAGUGUUUACUGUGUGACUGUCAUGCUGGUAAAUGUUGAUGCAUGUAAUCAAAAAGACAUUCCCUACCUUCAAGGUACUUAUGAUCUAAAAGAAGGAAAUGGAAAGGGAAUUGUAAUAAAUGAAAAGUGAAAUUAUUAAAUGUAAUAUUAAUAAAAUAUUGUGGUUGCCAUUAAAAAUUUACUCUCAAAUCAGGA
This is a non-coding RNA of Monodelphis domestica (gray short-tailed opossum), 1560 nucleotides long. The record is from RefSeq and is a predicted model, not a curated record. Lineage: Eukaryota; Metazoa; Chordata; Mammalia; Didelphimorphia; Didelphidae.